AAUUAUAGUAGACUAUAUUUCAUGGUAUUCUGACCUAAUCUGAUCAUAGGUCAACAGAACAUACGUAGUUGCCUAUAAAAUGUUUUACAGACAUCUACCAUAACUUAAGAGGUACUUAAUGGUGUUCUACAAUUCGAUAAAUUGCUUUGCAAUGACCCAGUGUCACAAAUGAUGUAUUUUAUUGAUUGUGCAGCAUAUCCUGGGAUAGCCUUGGAUGUAAUAUAGCUAGACACAUUGGUAAAUUAAUGUUAGCUAGCCAUGCUGCCUCAUGCUAGUUGUGUUAAACCCAGCUAUAGUUUUGUUUCAUUACUGGUAGCUAGCAUGUUCUAUCUAUCAGUGAUCAUUGCCUUGGUGAUUGAUUUGAUGGGUUGUCAUGGAUACAGCACACUACUGAUUACACAGCCAACGACAUGUGCCUCACCAUGCAAUAAUUACUCCAAAUGCAUCUUCUCAUUAUUUAUUUCAUACCUUUCAAUGUCUGUUGGAAACUGGACAUUUUACAGUAAACAAGCUAGCUAGCUACCGCCAAGAAGAGGAUGAAGACCAUUUGUGCCUUACUGAAUGUACGUGACGAUCAUUAGGAAAACGUCCACUGUCUAGUGCACUCGUCCCAAUCAAAGUUCUCUAUAAACAAUUAGGUCACCAGGCUGCUCGUUAUGGCGCACACCUGUCACCAUCAUCAGACUCACCUGGACUCCAUCACUUCCCUGAUUACCUUCCCUAUAGAUGUCACUCCCUUUGGUUCCUUCCCCAGGCGUUAUUGUUUCUGUUUCUGUGUUAUGUCUGUGCGUUGUUUGUGUUUCUUAUUUUGUAUUAUGUUGUGUUUAUUUAUUAAAACACUCACUCCCUGAACUUGCUUCCCAACUCUCAGCGCACAUCAUCACACAUUCUUAUGGAGGACUGCUCAUACUGGGGAGUGUCAAUAUGGCCGACUGUUGGCUUCAAAGCCUCUCAUUGUCCAGUACAUAGUAUUAACAAUCCAGGUGUCACGUCCUGACCAGUAAAAGGGGUUGUUUGUUAUUAUAGUUUGGUCAGGGCGUGGCAGGGGGGGUUUGUUUAGUGUGUUUCGUUUUUUGGGGGAAAUGUUCUAUUUCUAUGUCUGUGUCUAUUUAUUCUAUUUCUAUGCUUAGUUUAUUGGGUUGACCUUCAAUUGGAGGCAGCUGUUCCUCGUUGCCUCUAAUUGAAGGUCCUAUUUAAUAGGGGUGUUUGUUCAUUGGGAUUGGUGGGUAAUUGUUUCUCCGUAUAGUCAUUUGUCCUUGCGGGACUGUUUUUCG
Molecule: long non-coding RNA, 1274 nt
Filed under: Salmo salar (Atlantic salmon)
Lineage: Eukaryota; Metazoa; Chordata; Actinopteri; Salmoniformes; Salmonidae
Description: lncRNA (ENSSSAG00000081948.1)
Source: RNAcentral